Molecule: ribosomal RNA, 441 nt
Filed under: uncultured bacterium
Lineage: Bacteria
Description: bacterial SSU rRNA
Rfam family: Bacterial small subunit ribosomal RNA
Source: RNAcentral
GUGGGGAAUAUUGCACAAUGGGCGCAAGCCUGAUGCAGCGACGCCGCGUGAGGGAUGAAGGCCUUCGGGUUGUAAACCUCUUUCAGUAGGGAAGAAGCCGGUCUUUUGGGUUGGUGACGGUACCUGCAGAAGAAGCGCCGGCUAACUACGUGCCAGCAGCCGCGGUAAUACGUAGGGCGCAAGCGUUAUCCGGAAUUAUUGGGCGUAAAGAGCUCGUAGGCGGUUUGUCGCGUCUGCCGUGAAAGUCCGGGGCUUAACUCCGGAUCUGCGGUGGGUACGGGCAGACUAGAGUGCAGUAGGGGAGACUGGAAUUCCUGGUGUAGCGGUGAAAUGCGCAGAUAUCAGGAGGAACACCGAUGGCGAAGGCAGGUCUCUGGGCUGUAACUGACGCUGAGGAGCGAAAGCAUGGGGAGCGAACAGGAUUAGAAACCCUAGUAGUCC